UGUAUAUCCACGCGACGGAUACGAUUAGCGUUCGACCCAUCUCCACGCGUAAUGCGGCGGAGCAUUCUCAUAGGUCACUCGCAUUUGUCACUAGCAUUCUUUUCUUGAUAUCCUAUAAAAGGAACCGACGCGCACGGCGACAGCAUUGCUCGCUCGUUAGCUUCGUCGUACGCGUCGCGUGACUAAUAACAGAAUACAAUAAGAAACCCAGUUUUCAUAUUCAUUGUAAGAAGCCGAGUCUUCAUAUCCGUUGUAAGAAGCCGAGUCUUCAUAUCCGUUGUGAGAAGCCGAGUCUUAAUAUUCAUUGUAAGAAGCCGAGUCUUCAUAUCCAUUGUAAGAAGCCGAGUCUUUAUAUCCGUUGUAAGAAGCCGAGUCUUCAUAUCCGUUGUAAGAAGCCGAGUCUUCAUAUCCAUUGUAAGAAGCCGAGUCUUCAGAUUCAUUAUAAAAGUGCAUUACAACCAACGAAAAUAGUGUGCGGAGUGACCUUCUUCACACCUACGGAACAGGAACCACCGGUGGUUUUGAUUUCAUAGGUGAUGCCCGUGUAAACGACUCGAAUUUCAAAUAUCCCGACAUGCAAUUCUUUCAUGCUCAUUAUAAACGAGGGGAUGUGGAUUAAUUGGACAAAGUAUCGAAAAUAUUCAACGUGAAUGACGAUAUAAAGCAUGAAGUAAUGAAAAUAGUUAAAGAGGCCGAUGUAAUAAUGCCUAUGCCGAGUUUGCUAAGUCCGAAAAGUACGGGUGAAUUGCGGCUGCGCAACAAAGAUCCAGCAGUUCCUGUCAAGAUCUAUGCGAAGAGUUUCUCUGAGCAAGAGGAUGUCGAGAUGAUGUUAAAAUGGAACUUGCAUUUGUCCUUCUACUAUUUCCAUGCAUGUGGUACAGUCAAAAUGGGUCCGCGGAAUGACCCUACGGCCGUAGUGGACGCUACAUUGCGAAUACACGGAGUGCAAAGGCUCAGGGUGAUCGAUGCAUCCAUCAUGCCGAACAUCAAUAGCGAAACCACGGUGGGGCCUGCAAUGAUGAUUGGAGAGAAAGGCGCGGAUUUAAUCAAAGAGGAUUGGACAGGGCCACGACCGACCUUUCGACGAGCUGACCGCUCGUACCGACCGGUCUUCUCUCACCGUACCGGAAAAGACGUUCCCGCCGCGACCAAGGCAAAUAGGGACGAGCGUAGAAACGUCGCAAAGCAGCUGGAGCUGUUAACAAGAUAGAUUGACUGCAUUCUGCGCAUAAACGUACUAAGGCAAAACACUACAUAUCCAUAUAUAAACAAGGACAGAAUCAUCACGUACACGACACGGUCGGACAUGGAGGCGUGUUUGACAGCUACUUGUGCCGCUGCAACGAAUA
Molecule: RNA transcript, 1349 nt
Organism: Dinoponera quadriceps
Lineage: Eukaryota; Metazoa; Arthropoda; Insecta; Hymenoptera; Formicidae
Gene name: glucose dehydrogenase [FAD, quinone]-like
Exons: 5
Source: RefSeq, a predicted model, not a curated record